This 248-nucleotide ribosomal RNA is filed under the name uncultured bacterium. RNAcentral describes it as "partial 16S ribosomal RNA". It matches the Rfam family "Bacterial small subunit ribosomal RNA", at positions 337 to 602 of the family's 1533-position model. The record is from RNAcentral.
UCCUACGGGAGGCAGCAGUGGGGGAUAUUGCACAAUGGGGGGAACCCUGAUGCAGCGACGCCGCGUGGGUGAAGAAGCGCCUCGGCGCGUAAAGCCCUGUCAGCAGGGAAGAAAAUGACGGUACCUGAAGAAGAAGUCCCGGCUAACUACGUGCCAGCAGCCGCGGUAAUACGUAGGGGGCGAGCGUUAUCCGGAAUGAUUGGGCGUAAAAGGUGCGCAGGCGGGCCUGCAAGGCUGGAGUGAAACGC